This 1274-nucleotide long non-coding RNA is filed under the name Vigna radiata. RNAcentral's name for it is "long non-coding RNA (VRAD_LNC007214)". The record is from RNAcentral. Lineage: Eukaryota; Viridiplantae; Streptophyta; Magnoliopsida; Fabales; Fabaceae.
AGCUCCAUCAAGGCCAAUUGUUGGCCUAACACAAAGGUAUUUUUGCAUGCCUUCAAACAUGCAUAGAACCUCUUGAAAAUUGAUUUGCCAUCAUUCUCCUCAACUUUCAGUUUGAUAGUUGAGCCUGGAUUUCGAGGUAAGACCUCAUGGGUAUAAUCAUAAAUCCUUUUAUAUUGCAUUGUGAAUAACCCAUCCAUUUGGUUUGGAGCAAGGGCUUUCGCCCUGUAAGCCAUACAUUUAGAUAUUCCAGUGUUCCAUUUCCUAUUAAUUUUCUCUCAAAUAUCAACUCCCUUAACAUUAGGAUUUCCUCUCGUUGUUUUUUCAUAUUUUUUACUUAACCAUUUCGCAUUAAGUAAGUGAAUCUUGUGCUUAGUUUCCACAACCUCCAUAUAACCAUAUUAUGGCAUCCAAAGACAUUGUCCGUUAACACCCACACAUUUCAAUCUGAUUCUUUUUUUAUCAUUUCUAACAAAUUUUAUAUUUCUUUCAUUUUCUAAUGCAUGCGUUUUUAUUGCAUCCAAAAUGUCUUGUUUGUCACCAAAAUAUGUUCUAACUUUCCAUUUAAAAUCAAUCAUAGUUUUAUGCAUACUAAAUGUCACGAAUUUCCCAUAACCCUCUUCCCUAUUAUUUUCUUCAUCACUAUGCUGUAGAGUAAUUAAUUCUUCAUAUUCUCAUUCAUCAUUCAACAAACCGCUAUCAUUAUCAAAACUUAUAUCAUCAUCAUCCAAAUCCAAGUCAGACAUAUCACUCCAAGAUGACCUUUGCAUUCAUGUGAAACAAAUUCAACUUCAACGUGCAUAUUACUAGAGCAAUCUCCUUCUCUUAAGUCACACUCAACAUUUAUGUCAAUUAACCCCUCCAUACUAUUGACCUCACCAUUACCAUCAUUAUCCUAUGUACUUCAAUCAUGAACAUUAACUUCCUCCUCUACAAAUUUUAUAAGUUCAUAUUCAUGAACUUGUUCCUCUAUGUCACCCAAGUCUUGUGUUAAACCACCAUCUUCAUGUGUUUCACUACCACUUACACCCUCAUCAUCAUUUAUUUUUCUCGUGUCACCCAAGUCUUGUAUUAAACCACCAUCUACCUCUAUUUCACUACCACCUACACCCUCAUCAUCAUUUAUUUCUCUCGCUGCACCCAAGUCUUGUGUUACACCACCAUCUCCCUAUGUUUCACUAUGACGUAUACCCUCACCAUCAUCUAUUUGUGUUGUGUUACCCUUGACUUCUGUUUCACCACCAUCUUCUUCACAUUUACCAUCAUGUACAUCCUCA